Solanum stenotomum is the source of this 385-nucleotide long non-coding RNA. RefSeq lists it as uncharacterized. The record is from RefSeq and is a predicted model, not a curated record. The transcript has 3 exons. Lineage: Eukaryota; Viridiplantae; Streptophyta; Magnoliopsida; Solanales; Solanaceae.
CACCAACUUGACUUAGCAUAAUUCUUUGAGAAAACGAUUACGGCAACUUGAGACUCUUCUAUCGCUUGCACGAGUUCUUCUGAGAUGGAAUCGCCAUCCUCUAGUCUUUCAUCGUCUAGAAAGGUGGCUAUUCCCCUAUUUUUCAAACCUUUGUUCAAGUGACUUGUAAAGUUAUUCCGGGUAUCAUCUCCUCUGAAACUUAGAAAGACAUUGUACUUCCAUCGAGGACAGUACUGUGAAUUACUCGCAGAAGAAGAAGAUGAUGCCAUAGAUUCAAUUAAUUGUUUGAAAAGAAAAACUAAAGUGUAUGGAUCGGAUGAGAUCAAUUGAUGAACAAAUUAGUUAUAUAGAGGAAAGAAGAAAUAAACAUUCCAGUCAACUAAUA